CAUUUCUUAAUAUAGUGGAGUUUGAUUUGUAAUCAUAAAAUUUGGUUAUUUUUUCAAAAGCUUCUAUGUAAUCCUUGGGAUAUUUAAUUCUAUCGGUCAGGUUGAUAGAACUUAAGGAUUUUGGUAUUUCUGGUAAGGUUUGGGUAAUAGUGUUUAUAACUGGUGUGGAGGCUAAUCGGGAUACAAAAGUUUGAGGNNNN
RNAcentral lists this long non-coding RNA (200 nucleotides) under Daucus carota (carrot). RNAcentral's name for it is "long non-coding RNA (DCAR_LNC003656)". The record is from RNAcentral. Lineage: Eukaryota; Viridiplantae; Streptophyta; Magnoliopsida; Apiales; Apiaceae.